Molecule: ribosomal RNA, 464 nt
Filed under: uncultured bacterium
Lineage: Bacteria
Description: partial 16S ribosomal RNA
Rfam family: Bacterial small subunit ribosomal RNA
Source: RNAcentral
CUACGGGCGGCAGCAGUGGGGAAUAUUGGACAAUGGGGGCAACCCUGAUCCAGCCAUGCCGCGUGUGUGAAGAAGGCCUUAGGGUUGUAAAGCACUUUCAGAUGUGAGGAAAGGUGUGUGCUUAAUACGUACAUACUGUGACGUUAGCAUCAGAAGAAGGACCGGCUAACUCCGUGCCAGCAGCCGCGGUAAUACGGAGGGUCCGAGCGUUAAUCGGAAUUACUGGGCGUAAAGCGCGCGUAGGUGGUUUCGUCAGUCAGAUGUGAAAGCCCCGGGCUCAACCUGGGAAUUGCACCUGAUACUGCGGAACUAGAGUACGAUAGAGGGGAGUGGAAUUUCCGGUGUAGCGGUGAGAUGCGUAGAGAUCGGAAGGAACACCAGUGGCGAAGGCGACUCCCUGGAUUGAUACUGACACUGAGGUGCGAAAGCGUGGGGAGCAAACAGGAUUAGAUACCCUUGUAGUC